GGCACACGUAGAGGAGGCGCCGUGCAGUUUGGGGUUUGGGCCGUGUGCACGGGUUCUGGCUGGGCUGGUGCUCGUCCACUCUGCCGGGCCUAGUCCUGAGCGGGCACUGGCUGGAUGGAGUUGGAGCUGUGCGUGUGGGUCCCUGCCAGUAGCUUGGGUUUGGGGCAGUGGCGGCAGAAACUGAAAGCAGCUUUCUUUGCCUGCGCAGCCUGGGGAGGCAGUUCAGGCGCACCCCGCUGCAUGCCCAGAGGCAGCGGGAUGCACCAAAGGCUAGACAGUGAUUGGGCAAGACAGGAUUGAGGUACCUGCCAAGGGGCAGACUGAGUCCCUCCAUGGGCCACAUCUGCCCAUGCUACUCAUGGUGUUUCAUAUGGAACAGGUUUUAGGAGCAGAGUAUCUGGAAGGAGGACUACUGUUGUAAAACUGUCCGUCUCCCUGCAGCUGUCUCCCCACACGGAUUUGUGGCGCUGAGCAGCCGUAAUAUGCUGGUGCCCUGCCCAUGGCGUUUUCCCUCCCCCCUCAAGGCCAGUGCCCCUCGCUCCCCUUUUCUAUGCUGAUGCUGAAACCUGUCUAGAGAGCAGGUUGCAAAGCACCACACUUUCAUUUUUUAAGCAGAAAAAGAAAUGAAAAAACCUGUUGUUGUUCAGGAAGCACCGCAGGACAUCAGUUCAACUUCAGGGGAGUUUGAGAUGUGUGGUAUACAGAUUCUCACCUGUGCAGGAGGGAGGAGGAGGCUAACAGCAGAUUGUCUCCACUUUGCAAAUGUCUUUUAAAGCUUUCCUCUGUUCACAUCGAAUGUUUACGUGUGGUUUUUGCUUUGUUUUUUAAAUGGAUAUUCCGAUACGUGUCAAGCAGAUUGGCGUCGCUGGAAGUUUGGGAAUGGGAGCGAAUCCGUUUUCCAGCGGACUUGGGAGAUGUCAAUGAGCGGGGGCCCGUGUCCCUGGAAAAAAUACAACUCUGGAAGGGAAGAGCACUGCUCAUCUCUUUCCCUGCCCACCUGGGAAUGCUCCUUGUCCUGUUUUGUUUCUUUUACUCUGCUGUCAAGACCGAUUUUUAAUUUACAAAGGUUCACAAAACCAAAAAUCAGUUGGUGUUUUAAGCUGCUUUUUUCCCACCUUUUCAGGAAGCAGUUACUCAUCUUUGGUCUUGCCUGGUAUUGAAGGCUGGAGAAACAGAUUCUUAUUGUACUUUCUCAGGCCAUUGCUUGUGAUGUAAAUGCAGGCUUAUUACUUGUUAACAGUUGCAAAGAGCAUGUUCAUCUAACACAGGAGGUACAUGGUCCCACUAGGGACCUCUUACUGGACUUGGUGCUGGCGACAGGGGAUGACCUGGUAGGGAAUUGACUGACUCGAGGUAACCUAGGGGACAGUGACCAUCCAUUGAUUGGAUUCACUAUCUGGCACAGGGUGGGAAAAAUAACCAGUAGGGUAGGAGUGCUAGACUUCAGUGUGGUCAGGAGAUUAGUUAGCGAGGCGCUGAAGGACAAGAGCACUGGUAAGUUGGGAGUCCAGGAAUGGGAGUUGUUCCUAAAGGGAGCAAUCCUACAGGUGUAGGAGAAGAUGAUCCCGUUGCACAGGAGAGGGGAAAGAGGGGCCAAGAAACCCUCUUGGCUGAACAGCAAAAUGCAGGAAAACCUAGGGGCAAAAAAGAGGCAUAUAGACAGUGGAAGCAUGUGAGAUUUACCAAGGUGGAGUAUACCUACUUGGCCUGCGCUUGCAGGGAGGCAGUUAGAAAGGGUGAAGCAGAAAUGGAGCUUGGGCUGGCAACAAAAAUUAAAAACAAGUAAAGUCUUUCUUUAGGUGUAUAAGGAGUAAAAAGAAGGUGCCAUGGUAGCAUAGGAACCCUACAGGACAAAGUAGGGUAAAUAGUGAUAGGUGGGGUGAGCGGGGCAAGGUUGAGCUCUUCAGUGAGUUUUUUGCUUCUGUAUUCCUGAACAUGGAACAGGACAGGUCUCCCAGCUGGAUGCUAGACAGGCAUAAAAGGGACACCAGCCCACCAAGUGUUUGUGCCAACUUGGUGAAGAGGCACUUGGAAAGACUGGGUGUGUUUAAGUCAGCAGACCCACGUGAUCUUCAUCCAAGGGUGCCAAAGGAUUUGGCAGCAUUAUAGGAGAGCCCCGACACAGCUGUUUGAGCACUCGUGGCACUCGGGUCAGGUCCCAGAGGGCUGGAAAAGGGCCAGUGCGGUCCCUACCUUUGAGAAGGGAAAGGAGGAUCCGGGUAACUAGACACCAGUUAGUCUCACUUCUAUUCUGAGGAAAACCUUUGAAAACAUUAAGGAUCACAUUUGUGGGAGUCCUGGAAGGUGGGGGGAUGCUGAAGGGCAGUGAGCACAUAUUCAUAGCAGGUAGAUCCUGCCUGACUAACCUUGUUUCUUUUUAUGACCAGGUCACAAAAUGCUUACACACAGGAAUUGAGGUAGAUGUCAUCUACUUGCAUUUUAAGAAGGCCUUCAAUAUGGUAUCUCAUUCUAAUGUCAUUAAUAAACUGAGCCGCUGUCACGUAGAUGAUUACACGAUCAGGUGGGUGGCAAAAUGGCUCAGCGUCAUACCCAGAGAAUGGCGGUGGAUGGGUCGGUAUCGACCUGGAAAGAUGUGGGCAGUGGAGUCUGACAAGGCUCGGUCCUUGGACCUGUGCUGUUUAAUGUCUUCGUGAGUCACUUGGAUGAGGGCGUGGAAAGCACUCUGUCCAAAUAUGCAGAUGAUACCAAAUUUAUGGGUAACGUUAACAUGCUAAAGCAGAGGUCCUCAAACUGUGGUCUCUGGACCAGCGCUGGUCCACAAGCUCCAUGUAGGUGGUCCUCAGAAAGGUUGCAGAACAAUUGAGAAUCUCUGCAUUUGGCCCUGCAGUUGAUUACUUUUUUUUCCGGUGACGGAGAUUAAGCGGUCCGCUGAGACCCUCGGCAAUUUUCAAGCGGUCCGUGCAAAACAAAGUUUGAGAGCCGGUGCGCUAGAGGGUUGGGACCAAAUCUGUGGGCACCUGGGCAGGUUGGAAAAAUGGGCAGACCAGAAUAGGAUGCAGUUGAACAAAGACAAGUGCAAAGUGCUGCACCUAGGGAGAAGGAAUCACCGGCACGCUUACAGGCUGCGGGAGGGCUUUCUCAGCAUCAGAGCAGCGGAAAGGGAUCUCGGAGUCAGCGUUGAUACCGAGAUGAGCGUGAGUUGUCAACGUGACAAAGCGAUUGGUAAAGCUAACUGCACUUUAUCAUGUGUUCGCAGGUGCAGGACAAACAGGUCCAGGGAGGUGAUGCUUACCCUCUACGCGACAUUGGUCGAGCUGCAGUUGGAGUACUCUGUCCGGUUUUGGACGCCACACUUCAAGAGGGAUGUGGACAACCUUGUGAGGGUUCAGAGGAGGGCAAAAGCUAGUCCUUGCGCUCCUGUCCUUGGAACCAGCUUAUCGGCGAGGAAGCGCAGCGUGACAUUCGGAACCAAAAGGCCCGGAGUAGAAGGGCCCCCGACAUCCGUCGCAUCUGCAACGGGUCCCUGCGUGAGCUACUGAGAAACGAGCGUUUGGGGCCCGCACCGGUCUCUCGGAAACAUCCGAGCCAGCCCCGGCAGCAGGUGCCUGCGCGUUCCUGCCUCGUACGCGGUCAGGGAACGCUACGCACCAGCAGUUGCCUCGGCUUCUGACCGGACGCACGCCGUUUGCUCGCAAGCAUCCAAAGCUAGCACCUCCAGCGGCUGCAGCUGUUGCUUCCCAACUACUAGGAGAGCCUUGCAAAAGCAAUGGCCUGCCCCUGGGCCAGGCUGAUACCAGUGGCUCAGACCCAGAGACUUGCUGUUGUACCUCCCGGUGUCUGGAUUAGGUGUCGAGCACUUGGAACUCUGGCAGCUUCAGCACAUAUUAACCUCUCGUCCUCCUGUGGCCAACACCACGGAGCCCGUGACCCUAAUGUUUCUGUCAGCCUCUGUCCCACCCUUCCCCUGAAGGCCUCCCGUGAAAUCCCUUGUCCCAUCACAGUCUGCAGGUUGGCUCCAGCGGUAUUUCCCAGCUGCACGUGGAGAGUUGCAAGGGAGUGUCAGCGAGGAGCUGCAGCGUGAAAGAAGUGGGACUUGGAAAUAUCCAAGGGACCACGGGUAACAGUUUGACGGGCGUCACGUAGACUCGUUUUGCUGAAACUUUGGGAACGGGACCGAACCCAUUUUCCUGUGCGCUUGGACCUGCAGAUGGCUGGGGCCCGUGUCCCUGGGGAAACUCCGAGUCUGGAAGGGAGGAACACUGCUCAUCUCUCUCCCUGCCUGCCUGGGAACGCUCCUUGCCUUGUGUUUGUUAGACUCUGCCAUUUAGACCUAUUUUAACUUGUAACAGGGUCACAAAACCAAAUGCCAGUUGCUGCUCGUAGCUGCCGUUUCCCAUCGUUCCAGAAAGCAGCUACUCGCUCUUGGUCUUGUCUGGUAUUAAAGUCUUGAGAAACAGAAUUUUAUUCCACUUUUUUUGGCCGUUCCUUGGGAUGUAAGUGUAGGCUCGCAGCCUAUUCCUUGUAUGCCAGCUUAAGCACGUGUCGUUCUUAAGUUAGGCUUCUGGUAGGUGUGUAGUCUGCAAUACUGAGCGUGGUCUGUCAGGCCCUGACCAUAUUUUCAGUUUACACCGAGGGGAAUCUGCCCAUAGCCUUCCUUCCCCUUUCUCAUCACCAUCUUCGUAACAUCCCUGCCUCUUUACUUGUCGCUCAUUUCAGGAGCUGUUGUGUGCCAGUGCUUCUGUUCCCUGGUGCUUUCCCCGGGUACCCACCCUGUCUCCUGUACGUGGUGGAGGACCGGUUUAAGGAGUUGCACGGAGGGCCUCACAGAAGUCCUGUGUGGUCACGGGUUUACAAUGAAGACUUGCAGCUGUGUGUUACUAUUUCUGGGGUGUGCCGUGUGUGAGGUGCAGCUGUCAGAGGAACGCUUUGGAGAUGUCGCUCACGCAGGGAAGCAAAAUUGUUCUGCUCCCCACUACUGAGCUUUAAAGGGUGAUACCUGUGAGACAUCACAUCCCCUGUCCAAACCUGAGCCAUCUGAGCAGGGGAAGUGGCAUGGGAGCGGGGGCCAAGAUACCUGGUUGACAGCCCAGACUGCAAGUUGAAGGCUGCAAUGGAAGCGCUCAGUGUGGCCUGUCAGAUUCCAACAAAAUCUGUCAAGUCUUACAUGUAGCUUAUCACAAGGAAAAGAAAAGGACAUGAGCAGGGGCCCAUGUUAGAGUCUUAGUGCAUUGGUCAGCGAUUGGGGGUGAGGGGGUGCAUGUCCCUCCUUCACUGCCUGUGUGUUGACUGUCAUUGUUAAAGGACCAGGGUUGGGGGCGGGGGCAUUCUUGGCUGCUUGGCCAAGUGCCUGGGGGAAGAGCUAGGAGGGAGGGGGAGGUUCAGCAACCCCGGACUGGCCAGGUCUCCCCCUGCCUCCCACAGGGCUGCGCUACCUGCUACUGGCAGUGACUCUGCCUGGAGCAGUUGGCAGGCCCUUGUAAGCAGCCUGCACUGCUUGGGAGAUGUGGGCUGUGACACCUUGGUUUUCUGGACUGUGGUAAGAAAGCAAACAGCCUUGUAGUACAGGCUUCAGUUGUGGGACUGCACCCUGUUGUUGAGACCCCCCCCAGGGGCUUAUUUCUUGUAUGUCCAUGCAGGAUAGUUGGAGGGGUGGGGAAUGGAAGGAAGAGGCAUGGAUGAGACCUGCAUCUUCUGUUCAGCAAAUUUCUGUAAGUAAUGUUAGUACUACUAAUAUUAUCCCUGUUCUGAUUCUUACUAUUACUAUUAUUUGUUUUCCCAUAUACUUUGCCAACAAAGCACCUGGCAGGUCCAGUAAGAAAAGGAAGUUUCCAAACAGGUGACAGAAGGAAACCAAAUGAUUUAAGUAUGCAAGUGGUGGUGGUGGUGUUGGGAAGGUUCAGGAACCAUGGGGGAGGCAAGAUUUUUUGUUAUGUCUUUUGUGGCAACAACAGCACGGUUUGGACGGACAGAAGCAAGGUUUUAGGCAUCCCAGUCCCCUUUUUCAGUCCUGGUUCCUUCCCAGCAUCCUGAGGAAAGGUACUGUCAUACCCCAAAGGUUGCCUGUAUCUUACAGUUGGUCUGGUAAAACAGGGGUCAAAAAACCUAUGGCCUGUGGUUUGGAUCCAGCCUGUGAAGAAACUGGUUCUAGCCUGUAGCAGUUCAACCAAGGAGCAGCACACUCCCAUGGUGACAGCAGCAGGGACAUCCCCAGCAGCCUGUUGCCACUGCGUUCAGUUUGUUCUUUGUGCUGCAGCAGAAGCAGCCUCCCCAGGGUCCCGGCCCCUGCCUCUUUCUUUUGAGUCCCUUCACAGCCUGUGGAGAUUGCCGGGGACCAAGCUGUCACGUUGGCAACGGUGCACAACGGCAAAAGAACGGCCCUUCCCUGCAAGGAAAGAUUGCACCUAACUCCGAGCGAGCAGAGCAGAGCAUGGACACAGAGCGAGAUGCUCAUCAGUAGGGUAGUCUGGCCUUGCCGUUGCUAGGAGUGCCCAAGUAGGGAGGUGUUGGAAUAAUUUCUCAGCUUUUUCCCUAGAUCGCUCUAAGAGGAGAGGGGAGCGCUAAGCACACUUGGGUUCGUGCACGCUCCCCAUCGUUUUCAGAAGCGGACGGCAGGAGAAAGUUUGCGGUCAGCGAUAGCAGCACAAGGCCACGCAACCAGGCUGGGGAACGUGGGGCUCUUUCCUAAACCAGGAGUGGCAGGACUUGCACAGCUUUGCCAGGAUCCUGGCUGUUGUGGAGAGACUUUGGGUUGGAGAUGGAUGCAAAGAAGUGGAGGCGUGCCAUGGUGAUGGAGGAUAGAGCAGGAGGAGUAGUGUGAUGGAAGGUGGACUUACCUCAAGCGGGGGUGGUGUUUUGAGUGGGGGUGUCUGGGUGGGUUGGGAAGUCCCUGCUCUGGGUUGGUGUCCUGAGCUGCACGCUCCCAGGGCAGGGCUACUCAAGCGGAGGGCCAUGGCACCCAGGAGUGCCUCUGAGAUGAGUGGUGUAUGGCUGGGCUGGCUUGGCCCAGAGUUGCUCUGAGUCUGUGCAAAGAUCUCCAGGUUGCGGUGGGACAGAGGAUUGGGUCUCUGCCUGGCUGUACCUGUUGCCACAUGCCUCCUUUCAGUGCUGGGAAUUGCAUUUAUGUCUCAUCUCUCUGGGUGUGUCACUGGUGUCUGUCUUUGUACUUCUGUUCUUAAAAAUCACUGCAGCACUUGUUACUUUGUUCUUCCCAGGACUGAAAGGAGGGUUGUGUUUGCAUGUAAAUUGAUCCCCUCACUUGGGAGGGGUGUAGCUGCAGCCCCCUGCGGUUUGUUAGUGGGGCCAGUCCAAGCUGCUGUUGUACCCCUGGUUGGGAGGGAGGGGAUGCUGUCCCGUUGGUGGUGUGAGACCUGCGCAUAGCGCUGCAAGUGUUAAUUUCUGUUGUUCAUUUUUGGCGGUGUGGACAUGUUUGGCAAGAUGACCAAAGUCUGGUCCUGAGUGGAGAAGAGCUGAGGAAGAGGUGAAGAGCCCUGGAGCUGGUAUGGCGUGGAAGGAGUUGGAGACGGCCCGAAGCCAUGCUCACAUGAUCACCUGGAGCGAGGUAUUUGCUUCUUGUGGGUUGCAGCUCUGGAUGGAGAGAUCCUGCAGUUGCAGGUGCCUGCAUCGUAUCUGGGAAAGGGAUAGCAAGCAUGAGGACUGAUGGCGCACAAGGACUGAAGGCGCAGCGUGAUGCCAGGUGUGGAGCCAUCUUCUGAAGGCUUGAGGGCUGUGGAGCAGACUCUGUGAAGAUGAAGUGAAGAGUCCCAGAGAUGGUGCAGGAGGAAACGGGCAGCCCUGUUGUGACUUCCUGAUUUGCGUGGUGUGAGGCCUCUUCCCCUGUGGCAUCACCUGGCUGGAGUCUGGGGAGGUUUUGUGUGUAGCUUUGCAGGCGGUGCGUCUCCGCUCCCACUUCUUGCUGUGAGGAUGCCUGGAUAAGCAGCAGCAUGAUUGUGGCUGGGUGGCCUCAAUGUUGUGGGGGAGAGGAACAGAAGCGAGGCUUCUGCGGUGGUGGUAGAAGAUGGAGGAACUGGAUCCCGAAAGGUGGGCUGGGUUAAAGUGGGAGGCUGGGUUGCGUUUUCCCUGGUCGUGUUUGGGUGGGGAAGGAAACGCCUUGUGCGUAAUGGGGUCUGGAGCUGCGUGCUGUCUGGGAAGUGAUGCUGAAGCAGGGACUUGUGGCCCUUAGGGAUGCUGCAGAGCAGGGGGUGUAAGCCUGAAUUGGGUUUAGUUUGGUGGUGAGACCUGACUCCUUGUAAAGGCUGGAAAUUGUCCUUGAGUAUAUUAGGGGUUUCAGUGUUUGCCCCUGGCUUCUGGGUGCAGGUGACAGCAUUGGAUGUGCUGGGACAGAGGAGCGGGUGCGUGCGUGUCCGCCUCUGCCUGGCUGUUGCUGCUGCCACUGGUCUUCCUUCAGUUCUGGGAAUUGCACUCUGUCCUAUGUCUCUGGGUGUGUCACUGGUGUUUCUUUCUACUUUGAUAUCUAAAAUCACAGCAGCACUUCUUCUUUCUUUCUUUGCUCUUCCCAGAGCUGGAAGGAUAGGUGUGUUUGCAACUGAAUUGAUCCCCUCAUUUGGGUGGGCUUUGACUGCACCCUGUGUGCCUCGCGUGCGAGUGGGGGUGUUAUGCUUUCGGUGUCCUAGGCUGCUGGGGGUGGGGGGCGUUGUCUCUGCUGUCAGUACUAUGAGAUGUGAAUACUGUUGCGUGUAGUAAUUGCUUGUUGUUUUGGGUGUGAUGUUAAUAUGUCGAGCGUGAGUGGAGAAGAGCUGAGGCGAAGAGACCUAGAGCCAGCGCUAGGUAGAAGCGGGUGGAGGAAGCAGGUGGUCGUGCAGCCAUGCUCGCUUCUGGGUCACCUGGAGGGAGGCCUCUGCCUGUUCGGUGGACCUGUGUGCAUGAGCAGAGCCUGCAGAGGUCCCUGCUUCCCCUGUGUGGAGAGGAUGGCAAGGAGGGAGGAGAGUGCGCCGGAGGAAGAGGAGCGCGAUGCCAGGUCCCAUGAGUGCUGUCUCUUGGGGGUCCUGACCUGUGCAGAGGGAAAUGACUGCCGGUUGAAGGAGUGAAGCUGAGCAGCGCCCACGGAGGGUGAAGCAGGAGGAACUCGAUGCCGCACGGCGUGUCGGUGCCGGAUGGGCAGUUCUGGCAAUUGCAGGUGCCUGUCUCCCGUAUGGGGAGAGGAUGGCAAGCAAGGAUGCUUGAGGGCUGGAGGAGAAGAGUGAUGCCAGGUGUGGCAAGUGCUGGCGGUCAGGGGAGUCCUCUUGCCAAGGCUUCAGGACUGUGAAGCAGAGACUGGAAGAAGAGGUGAAGAGCCCCAGAGAUGGCGGAGGAGAAAACGCACAGCUGUCUCCUGACUUCCCAAUUUGUGUGGCGUCAGGUCCCUGGCCCUGUGGCAUCACGCAGUUGGAACCUGCGGUGUGUCUGAGCUUCCUCGGAGCGGUGCGAUGUCUUCGUUUCCCUGUCUGACCGUUUCUUUCACAGUUGUUCUAUCAUGUUUGCAGGAUGUACUGUGUGUAUGGUGGUUGCUGUGGUGCAUUGCUUUUUGAUGCCCUGUGACUAUCUGGCUCUGGGCGGCCACAGGCAAGCCUUUAAGAGCUCAGCUAGCGAGUAGUGGGUCUGGAUGUGUCUGCCGGGUGUUUGCAGAGGAGCUUUCCCUGUCUCUAGCUUUGUGCCGUUUCUUCUGCUCUCUGGGCUGGCUAGGUUUCUGUUCUUUUUCCAGCAUAGUCUAUCUUGAUGGGGUGAAGGAUACAGGGAGUACUGUGCCACAGUGUUGGAAGAUGAAGGAACAGAAUACUUAAAAGUGGGCUUGGUUAGGGAGGGGUGGUGGGGUGGUGGUGAGUGGUUUCUUCCCUGUGGUUUUUUGGGUGAGGGAGCAAACGCCUAGUGUCUGAUAGUGUCUGGCGCUUCUUGUUUCCAGCAGGGUUCUGGCCUCCUGGGGUGCCCCAGAGCUGGAUGGUGUAAGCCUGGGUUGGGUUUAGCCUGUGUGUGUGUCCUGGCUCUCUUUGUACAGGCUGACAAUAAUCUUUGAGUAUAUAGGUGGUUUCAGUGUUUGCCCCUGGCAUCUGGAUGCAGAUCUUGUCCCUGGGUGUGGUGGGGCAGAGGAGCGGGUGCCUGUCUCUCUGCCUCUGCCUGCCUGUUGCUGCUGCUGGCCUCCCUUCCGUUCUGGGAAGGGCACUUUGUUCUGUCUGUCUGGGUUUGUCACUGGUGUUUCUGUCUACUUGGAUUUUGAACAUCAGUGCAGCACUUGUUGUUCUUGCUUUCCUAUUCCCAGAGCUGGAAGGAGGGCUGUGUUGGCAAUUAAAUUGGUCCCCUCCUUUGGGAGGGGUCUGAAUGCACCCUAUGUUGCUUGUUUGGGGCAGUUGCUUGUGCUUUGUCCUUUUGUUUGGUAGUGAACUUUCCCCAUGUGCUGUCAGGAGGUUCCUGCAUCCUGUGAGAGGAGACGAAGCGAAGCAGGGACAAGUGAGGGCUGCAGAAGGAGCGGCAUAAUGCCAGGCACGGUGAGGGCUGUCCCGAGGCUAAAGCCUUUUCUGCGGCUGAAUGGGAGGCGUUGUAGCCGGGCGCCCCUCGGAGACCUUUGAGCCGGGGAGCGGGUGUGUGGUGUGGGAGUUGUACUGUGGGUUCCUUCUCCUUGGUUGUGGUCCUGGAGUGACUACCUGUUCUCUUCCUUCUAGGGUCCUGGCCCGUGUGCAGGGAAAUGUAUGCUGGUUCAGGGGGUGGAGUGGACUAGUGCCCAUGGAGGAUGAAGCAGUAGGAGUUGGCUGUUGCAUGGUGUGUUGGCAUUGAAUGGGCACAUCUUGCAGUUGGUAAAUGAUUGCUUGAAGCAGUGUGGGGUUGCCCAGGUCUGGCAGGUUUUUGUGCUUUGCCCUUUGUUGUUUUCUGUGCUCGUUGCACCGAGGUUUUCCUUUGCGUCCUCGGCAGGCGCUUGCCUCCCGUGGGGAAGGGAUGGCAAGCGAGGCUGCGCAAGGGGUGACGGAGCACUGCGAUGCCACGUGUGGCGCGUGCCGGUUCUCUGGGCUGAGGCCUUCGCCCUGGUGUCUGCGUGCCCUCUGUGUGCCCUUUGCAGUGUGAUGAGGUGCUCUGUUGGCUUGCUGUGUGUUGUGGGACUUGCUCAGUGGUUUGCUCAUCCUGUGUUUAGUUCUGCUUGUUGGGCUGAUCACUUGUUGUCUGUUCUCUGUACGGUCCUGGUAUGUGUGGAGGAAAAGGAAGAGGGCUAAGGAGCGGAGCAGAACAGUGGUAAUGGAGGAAGAGAAGCAGGAUGCUGGGAGGUGGGGUGGGUUGGGGCGGGCGGUGUCUGGGUGUGGUGGGAAGGCCCUGGUCUGGCAUGGUGUCUAUGUUAGGUGAUCCCAGUCAGAGAUGCUGGAGCAGGAUGUUGCGGCAUUUGAGCUUCCUCUCAUCUCUUGCGGUGGCCUGCUGUGUCCAGGGGCCCCUCGUGCGGCUCUUCACGAGGCUUGAGAAUGCGUGCCUGUCCCUGCCAGCAGGUUUUUUGGCUCCUUGAGCUGUGUUUGCUACAACACUUGGGUGGCGGUGUCUGGCCCUCUCCAGGUUUUGGCGGGGCAGAAGUUUGGUGCGUCUUUGCCUACCUGGCUGUCUUGGCACAGGCUCUCCCACCGGUGCUGGGACUGGCUUGUCCUCUGUCCAUGUGCCUUUGUUUGUCUUGUUGUCUUGAAAGUUGUUGCAGCCUUUCUCUGUUGUUCCCAGAUCUGGCAGGAGACCUGUGUUUGCACACCUAAAUUGCUUCCCUUGCUAUCGAAGGGAAAGUCCUGAGGGGUCUGGCUGUCCUGUGACAGCUGUUGGCCGGGGGUUGGGGCGUAGGGGAUAAGUCGCGUGCGGCGUCUCGGCAGGGAGCGGCCGUUGUCCCCAGUGCCGCGAAGCCUCGGAGUUGUCGAUAGUGCCAAUUGCCUUUUCCUUACGUGUGUGGAGGAGCAAUCUUGUGAAGGUUGCAGGCCUAUGAAGCAGCCACUGGGAAGAUUUCAUAGACAUUCGGGCUGGAAGGGACCUCGGAAGAUCAUCGAGUCCAGCCCCCCGCCCAAAGGGCAGGAAGUCAGCUGGGGUCAUAGGAUCCCAGCAAGAUGAGCAUCCAGUUUGCUCUUAAAGGUGUUCAGUGUAGGCACUUGAACCGCCUCCGGCGGCAGGCUAUUCCAGACCUUGGGGGCUCGGACAGUAGAGAAAUUCUUCCUUAUGUCCAGCCCGAAACGGUCUUGUAGUAGUUUAUGACCGUUCGACCUAGUCGUCAUCCCUUGGGGCGCGCUCUGGUGAACAAACGUUCCCCCAGAUAGUGGUGGUCACCCCCGAUAAACUUAUAGGUGGCCACCAGAUCACCCCUGAGCCUGCGCUUUUCCAGGCUAAAGAGCCCCAGGGCUCUCAGCCUGUCGUCGUAGGGUCUGCUUCCCUGAGCUCUGAUCAUGCGCGUGGCUCUUCUCUGGACUCUCUCAAGCUUCUCCACAUCCUUUUUGAAUUGUGGAGCCCAAAACUGGACGCAGUGCUCCAGCUGCGGCCUCGCCAGGGCCAAGUAUAAGGGGAGAAUGACGUCCCGGGAUUUGCUUGAGAAGCAUCUGUGAAUGCAAGCCAGCGUUUUGGUCGCUUUAAUAGCCGCAGCAUCGCACUGCAGGCUCAUGUUCAUCUUGUGGUCAAUGAUGACCCCCAAGUCUCUUUCUUCCAUAGUGCUAGCCAACGUAGCACUGUUGAGCCUAUAAGGAUGCUGCAGGUUUUUCUUCUCAAGGUGGAGAACCUUGCAUUUAUCGGCGUUGAACACCAUCAGAUUAUCGUCCGCCCACUUGCUGAGCCUGUCCAGGUCAGCCUGGAUCGCCCGCCUGUCUUCUGGCGUGGAUGCUUUGCCCCAAAGUUUGGUGUCGUCGGCGAACUUGGCCGGCCCGCUUCUGACUCCAGUGUCCGCAUCGUUAAUGAAGAUGUUGAACAGUAUGGAUCCAAGGACAGAGCCUUGGGGGACCCCGCUGGUCACAGGACACCACGAUGAGUGACUUCCAUCAAUUACUACCCUCUGGGUCCGACCACGGAGCCAAUUUUCCAUCCAGUGGAUCCUGGAGGACCCAAGGUGACAAUUGGCCAGAGGCGAUCGUGGGAAACCAGAUCAAAGGCUUUUUUGAAGUCAAGAUAUGACAUCAAUCUCUUCUCCCUUGUCCAGGUGAUAGGUCACCCGGUCGUAGAAGGAAAUGAGAUUGGUCAAGCGAGACCUACCCGCAACAAACCCGUGCUGGCUAUCCCUUAAGACGUUGGCGUCGGCCAGUCCGUUAAGGAUGGCCUCUUUAAUUAACUUUUCUAAGAUCUUCCCCGGGAUAGAAGUCAGGCUGAUGGGCCUAUAGUUAGCCGGAUCCACUUUCCUCCCUUUCUUGAAGAUAGGCACCACAUUGGCCUUCUUCCAGUCUUCGGGCACGACACCAGAGCGCCAAGAGUUGUCAAAGAUCCGCGAUAGAGGCUGGGCUAUGAUGCUCGCCAGCUCCUCGAGUACCCUGGGGUGAAGAUUGUCAGGGCCGGCUGAGUCGAAGGUAUCCAGCUUUUCAAGAUGUUCCUUCAUGAAGUCAGCAUCAAUGGAGGGCAGGGGAUCACGCUCACCCGGUGAAGAGACCCACAGUGGGCAGCCCUGUUAUGAUGUUCCGAUUUGGCACGGUGCGAGGCCUCUACCUCUACUGUGUCACCUGGCUGGAGUGUGUGGUGGGUCUGAGCUCCCUUGGAGCAGCGCGAUGUAUUUGUCUUCCUGCUUUGUCACUUUUUCCACGCUUGUUCUUUCAGGUUUCCAGGAGGUUUUGUGCGUGUACCUGUGCAGGUGGUGUGUCCCCACUCUGUCUUCUGGCUGUGAGGAUGCCUGGAUAAGGAGCAGCGUGGUUGUGGCUGUGGUGAGCAGUGCCUGUUGGAGAUGAGGGCUGUCCUGUGGUGGCUGUGCCCUGUGUAAGCUAGGUGGGUUUUUGAUUGCCUGUGAAUAUCCAGUUCAGGCUGGCCAGAAGCAAGCGUUUGAGAGCUCAGGUAGUGGGUUGUGGUGCUGGAGGUUUGGAGAGGAGCUUACCUUGGCUCUGACUAGGUUGCCUUGUGUCCCCUGUUUGGGGUGAUGAGGGUUUUGUUUGAUUUCUAGUGGCUUUGAUCUUGUGGGGGAGAAGGAUGUGAGGGCAUGUUGUGCUGUAGUGAUGGAAGAUGGGGGAACAGGGUGCUGAAAAUUGGUUUGGUUUAGAGUAGCAGGGUGGAGUGGCUGGUUUGCUCUGGUGAUGUUUGGCUCGGGGGUGGGGGGGUGCCAGUCUCUGCCUGUGUGUUGCUGCUGCCACCGGCCUCCCUUCAGUUCUGGGAGCUGUACUCUGUGUUGUCUCUCUGGGUGUGUCACUGGUGUUUCUUUCUGCUUUGAUAUUGAAAAUCACAGCAGCACUUUUUGUUCUUCCUUUGCUCUUCCCAGAGCUGGAAGGAUGGGAGUGUUUGCAUGUAAAUUGGUCCCCUCCUUUGGGAGGGGUUUGCUUGUACGCUCUGUGCCUUGUGUGGGGGUGGCGGCUGUGUGCUGCUUUUGGAGACCGGGGCGGGUGCAUCUCUCUCCUUAGUACUGAGAUGUGAAUACUGUUUCGUGUAGUACUUGCUUGUUGUUUGGGGGGUGAUGCAAAUAUCUGGACCCUGAGCGGGGAAGAGAUCAGGUAGAGGUGAAGUGACCUAGUGCCACCACCAUGCAGAAGGAGGUGGAAGAAGUUGGUGGCUGUGUCCCUGUCGUCAUUUCUGGUUCUCCUUGAGCGAGGCCUUUGCCUGUCAGGUGGAGCUGUGUGCGUGGACAGAGCCUGCAGGAGGUUUCUGUUUUUCUCCAGCCCAGUCCUGGGUGUUGGGCAUUGACUAGGUAGGGUAGACGACUGGAGAUCGAUCUGGAUGUUUCUGACUGGGUCCUGGUCCUUGGAGAGAAGUUUGAGCAGAGAAGGGUGGAAGAUGGAGGCAGAGAGGAUGGUGCAAGCAGGGGGUCUUUUUACCAAGACUUUUGGGGCAGGGAGGAGAAGUGGAGAUUGGGCAGAAGAAGAGAAGACAUCUUGAAGUCAUGAACCAUGGAGCUGCCUGUCAUUGGUGCAUGGAACAUGUGAUGGGUGCUUGUGCUGUAGCUCUGUCGUGAGGAGCGGGGCACGGGCAGUGACAUGCUGAGGGCUGGAGAAGGAGCACCACAAAGAUGGCUGUGAGGCCUUGGUCAGGCGUGAAGUAUGUGAGCCAGGAGAGUCGUACAGCACACAGGCAGGAUGGAGGUAGAAAAGGGAUGGGGGAGUGGUUGGUGGGGAGGGGGUUG
Long non-coding RNA from Alligator mississippiensis (American alligator), 15190 nucleotides. RefSeq lists it as uncharacterized. The transcript is spliced from 18 exons. Lineage: Eukaryota; Metazoa; Chordata; Crocodylia; Alligatoridae. The record is from RefSeq and is a predicted model, not a curated record.